Rattus norvegicus (Norway rat) is the source of this 1174-nucleotide long non-coding RNA. Ensembl lists it as uncharacterized. The record is from Ensembl. NCBI's taxonomy places the organism in Eukaryota, Metazoa, Chordata, Mammalia, Rodentia, Muridae.
AGUAGUACAGAGGAGAAGGUGCAAUAAGGAAUGUCCUCCUGUGCUAAGAAUGCAUUCAGAACGGGGAUGCUCUGUCCGGAUGCCUUCAUGGAAGAGGUCACGAUUUUCCUCAUAGCCUGGUUUCUCUGUGCAGCCCUGGCUGUUUUGGAACUCCUGAUUUGUAGACCAGGCUCUCCUUGAACUCAGAGAUUCUGCUGCAUCUGCCUGAGAUUAAAGAUAAAGGGACACCGUGGAAACUAAACAACUUCUACCAACACCUAGACAAAUGACAGCCUGGGGACUCAGAUGCUCACAAUCUAACCAAGAUCCCUUCCUCCUAAAGGCCAAACAUUCUGCUCUACACAAAGCACUUGACUUCCGAUGAAUACAGUGUGUUUUCCUGAGAAGUUGGCAGAUGGCGAUGUAUAGAAAGUGCAGUGUCUGGCACACGCGGAGCUGCUGAUCCGUGCUACCCAUUGGCAUUGGAACAGCUGCAUUUUUGAGCAGAGACAUGAAAAGCAUGGGGGGAGAUCGUCACGCCGCCACCACAGAUGUCCCUGCCUUGGCCGAGGACAGAAGACAGCAGCCAAUAUUCACAGUGGACUGCAGAUGUUUCCCUUCACCAUGGAUCAGAGGGGCCAUUAUGGACAGCGUGGGCUCUGCAGGAGUUUUGUGUUCCAGACGGAAUAUUACAGAAUAUGCAUGGCUCCAUCCAACAUUUAUUGAAUACCUACUCUGUGCUGAGCUGCUUUCUAAAUACAAAGAUGAAUAGGUCACAUUCCUUGUCCCCUCAGACACUGAAUUACACACAAGGAGACAACACACAUAAUUAGCCGUAGCGUACUGAGGAGUUCUGUGUGUGGCAGAAACAGUGGUUGAUCUCAGGAGAGAUUUCUGUCAGAGGGCCUUGGAGGAAGAUGCAGACCGGGAGGGACAUCCAGAGUCUUCUAGGGACGGUAAAUAAUGAAAGGACUUCAAUGAAAUGAAGAGCAAAGGUCAUUUGAGGUGGUAGAGUGAGGUGCGCAGACCAGCAGGCUUCCUCGCCCCCCAACCCCCACCUCACCCAGUCACUGCCCACCCGUGACACCUUCUUUCAGUGUCUGAGUCAUACCCAGUAGAUUGCUAGGUGAGGACACCAGAAAGGCUUCGCCCACACAAAUAUGACAUGCUCCCUCAGAAUACAUGUUCCUCCAAU